UACGUAGGGGGCUAGCGUUGUCCGGAAUCAUUGGGCGUAAAGCGCGCGUAGGCGGCCCGGUAAGUCCGCUGUAAAAGUCAAAGGCUCAACCUUUGAAUGUCAGUGGAUACUGUCGGGCUAGAGUCCGGAAGAGGCGAGUGGAACUCCUGGUGUAGCGGUGGAAUGCGCAGAUAUCAGGAAGAACACCGACGGCGAAGGCAGCUCGCUGGGACGGUACUGACGCUGAGGCGCGAAAGCCAGGGGAGCAAACGGG
This 253-nucleotide ribosomal RNA is filed under the name uncultured bacterium. Its description in RNAcentral is "partial 16S ribosomal RNA". It matches the Rfam family "Bacterial small subunit ribosomal RNA", at positions 524 to 776 of the family's 1533-position model. The record is from RNAcentral.